AACGAACGCUGGCGGCGUGCUUAACACAUGCAAGUCGUACGAGAAAUCCUGAGCAAUCGGGAGAGUAAAGUGGCGCACGGGUGAGUAACACGUGGGUAAUCUACCCUUAAGUUGGGGAUAACUUCGCGAAAGCGGGGUUAAUACCGAAUAAUAUUCUAAUUCCUAUGGGAGUUGGAAUCAAAGGUGGCCUCUGCAUGCAAGCUAUCACUUAUGGAUGAGCCCGCGUGCCAUUAGCUUGUUGGUAGGGUAAUGGCCUACCAAGGCUACGAUGGCUAGCUGGUCUGAGAGGAUGGCCAGCCACACUGGAACUGAGACACGGUCCAGACUCCUACGGGGAGGCUG
RNAcentral lists this ribosomal RNA (342 nucleotides) under uncultured Pseudomonadota bacterium. RNAcentral's name for it is "bacterial SSU rRNA". It matches the Rfam family "Bacterial small subunit ribosomal RNA", at positions 29 to 351 of the family's 1533-position model. Lineage: Bacteria; Pseudomonadati; Pseudomonadota. The record is from RNAcentral.